Long non-coding RNA from Gasterosteus aculeatus aculeatus (three-spined stickleback), 1047 nucleotides. The record is from Ensembl. NCBI's taxonomy places the organism in Eukaryota, Metazoa, Chordata, Actinopteri, Perciformes, Gasterosteidae.
GCUGGUUCCACCAUUUGAGCCAGGACAGCAAAGAGUCAUGAUUUUGUCGAGUGUUUUUCUCUCGAUGGUGAGCAGACAUCCGCACAGGCAGAGAUCCGCGCCGAGAGUCCGAGUGAGGGAAGGAGAGCAUUAGUUGGGCAUCGGCAUAGCUGUGGUAGGAGAAGCCAUGCGAGCAAAUGACAGCACCGAGAGAGUUGGUGUAGAGCGAGAAGAGGAGGAGACCCAGGACGGAACCCUGAUGAACUCCAGUAUUAAGAGGACAAGGUUCCGACACAGAGCGGCCGUCAAGGUAAAGUGACAGCCGCAUGAUGCACUGCUUGGCAGUUUUCAUCCUGGAAAGAAACACAAGGCGAUUUUGAUAUUAUGGUAAGGUAGAUGGGCGUGGGCAGCACACAAGAGUCACAGGGAGGUUCUUCCGACUUGAAAAAUAAGGUAUUUAUUUAAACAUAUAUAUAUAAAAAGUGGCGCACAAGGACGGGUUGAUUCUGCAGGGAAGACUGGCCUCAGAGAGCCCCAGGUAGGAAUCUUCCAGUACUAGGGCAAAAACAGAAAAAGAUGAACAAAGACAGCGUCUUAUCCACAGUGAGCAGCCAGACGGCCUGAAUAGGCAGUUUACCACUCUGACGUCGGAACGAUCUGGCACUGAAUGGCAGGAAGACCCGGGUUCAUAUAGACCCUUUUCACGUCACGCAACUUCCGUUUUUACUCAAAGCCGGGUAAUGUUUACUUCAGCCAGCAUAGAGGAACGCUAUGGAAUAUACACCGUUCCUUCCAAAACAUGGCAAAAAUAAAUCUAGAUGAUGUACAGCGGCUGGCAGACAAAUUUUCACUCACAACACGUUCCAAACGUGAUAAAGGAUAUAAAUUCUUCAUUGAACAGUACCUGUUUGCGUAUGAAGGUAAGCAUUUUGUACUGUCCCGCCCAAAAUUACGUUAGCGGAGGAGUUAGGAUAACGGUAGUUUUUUCUUCUGCAGUGAAAGUCCAUAUUCUUUAUUAAUUUACUGUAACACAGACCUGAAAAACUCUUGUUGCAGUUAUGUUUAUUA